Molecule: long non-coding RNA, 746 nt
Filed under: Homo sapiens (human)
Lineage: Eukaryota; Metazoa; Chordata; Mammalia; Primates; Hominidae
Description: HSALNT0401371
Source: RNAcentral
GCAGCGGGAGGUGAGGCCAGAGAAGCCUUGGAGGCAGAAGCUGCGGGCCUCAUGGUUAUCAUGAAGCUCCGGGUUUUACUCUGAGUACGCGGGAGCCAUGGAGAGUUCUGAGCAGAGGAAGCACAGGACCUGACCUGGGUUUCACAGGCUUCCUCUGGCUGCUGUGUGGAAAAUAGAUCGUGUGAAAGUUUUUCGUCAUGUCCAGGCACCACCUCUUCCCGGUCAGGCCCACGUUACAUACGAGGACAAUGGAACAAGUCAAAGGCAAAGCAACACGUCCCCCUGUAAAAACUGUCAGUGUAACCGUCCACUUCCGUAUCUGUCCAGUCACUUAACAAACAUUGACGGACCACCUUUAAACACAGGCUGCUGUGCUGGUGUCUGGGACACAGCGCCUGACACUCAGGAGAUGGGGAGAGCCUUCCUCUCACUCCGCCUCAGGAGGAGCUCGAACCUGCUCCCUUAAAUCUCCAUCAGCUCCGCAAGCACUUGGGCUCUGCUGGCUGUAACGCUGCUCCCUGUUUACCAGAGGCUUUUGCUGGCACAUGUAUCACUCAGACUCUGAACUAGAUCAAGCCACAGAAAACUUCGAUUCAUGGAGCUGCUGGUCCCCAUUACCACAAGAUAUGCAUUCUUUCUCUUUGAUAAGGAAUUAAGGUGCCAUAUUCAAACUUUAAUCUGUAAAUACAGGUAAAUAAAACAUGAUUACAGAAAUCAUUUUCAAUAAAAAUCCAUCUUGAGCUUAA